This 1354-nucleotide ribosomal RNA is filed under the name Streptomyces sp. Its description in RNAcentral is "bacterial SSU rRNA". It matches the Rfam family "Bacterial small subunit ribosomal RNA", at positions 64 to 1427 of the family's 1533-position model. Lineage: Bacteria; Bacillati; Actinomycetota; Actinomycetes; Kitasatosporales; Streptomycetaceae. The record is from RNAcentral.
GAACGAUGAACCACUUCGGGGGGGAUUAGUGGCGAACGGGUGAGUAACACGUGGGCAAUCUGCCCUUCACUCUGGGACAAGCCCUGGAAACGGGGUCUAAUACCGGAUAACACUGCGGAUCGCAUGGUCUGCGGUUAAAAGCUCCGGCGGUGAAGGAUGAGCCCGCGGCCUAUCAGCUUGUUGGUGAGGUAAUGGCUCACCAAAGGCGACGACGGGUAGCCGGCCUGAGAGGGCGACCGGCCACACUGGGACUGAGACACGGCCAGACUCCUACGGGAGGCAGCAGUGGGGAAUAUUGCACAAUGGGCGAAAGCCUGAUGCAGCGACGCCGCGUGAGGGAUGACGGCCUUCGGGUUGUAAACCUCUUUCAGCAGGGAAGAAGCGAAAGUGACGGUACCUGCAGAAGAAGCGCCGGCUAACUACGUGCCAGCAGCCGCGGUAAUACGUAGGGCGCAAGCGUUGUCCGGAAAUUAUUGGGCGUAAAGAGUCGUAGGCGGCUUGUCACGUCGAUUGUGAAAGCCCGAGGCUUAACCUCGGGUCUGCAGUCGAUACGGGCUAGCUAGAGUGUGGUAGGGGAGAUCGGAAUUCCUGGUGUAGCGGUGAAAUGCGCAGAUAUCAGGAGGAACACCGGUGGCGAAGGCGGAUCUCUGGGCCAUUACUGACGCUGAGGAGCGAAAGCGUGGGGAGCGAACAGGAUUAGAUACCCUGGUAGUCCACGCCGUAAACGUGGGGCACUAGGUGUUGGCGACAUUCCACGUCGUCGGUGCCGCAGCUAACGCAUUAAGUGCCCCGCCUGGGGAGUACGGCCGCAAGGCUAAAACUCAAAGGAAUUGACGGGGGCCCGCACAAGCAGCGGAGCAUGUGGCUUAAUUCGACGCAACGCGAAGAACCUUACCAAGGCUUGACAUACACCGGAAAGCAUCAGAGAUGGUGCCCCCCUUGUGGUCGGGUACAGGUGGUGCAUGGCUGUCGUCAGCUCGUGUCGUGAGAUGUUGGGUUAAGUCCCGCAACGAGCGCAACCCUUGUUCUGUGUUGCCAGCAUGCCCUUCGGGGUGAUGGGGACUCACAGGAGACUGCCGGGGUCAACUCGGAGGAAGGUGGGGACGACGUCAAGUCAUCAUGCCCCUUAUGUCUUGGGCUGCACACGUGCUACAAUGGCAGGUACAAUGAGCUGCGAAACCGUGAGGUAGAGCGAAUCUCAAAAAAGCCUGUCUCAGUUCGGAUUGGGGUCUGCAACUCGACCCCAUGAAGUCGGAGUUGCUAGUAAUCGCAGAUCAGCAUUGCUGCGGUGAAUACGUUCCCGGGCCUUGUACACACCGCCCGUCACGUCACGAAAGUCGGUAACACCCGAAGC